AUUGAACGCUGGCGGCAGGCCUAACACAUGCAAGUCGAGCGGAUGAAGGGAGCUUGCUCCUGGAUUCAGCGGCGGACGGGUGAGUAAUGCCUAGGAAUCUGCCUGGUAGUGGGGGAUAACAUCCGGAAACGGGCGCUAAUACCGCAUACGUCCUGAGGGAGAAAGUGGGGGAUCUUCGGACCUCACGCUAUCAGAUGAGCCUAGGUCGGAUUAGCUAGUUGGUGGGGUAAAGGCCUACCAAGGCGACGAUCCGUAACUGGUCUGAGAGGAUGAUCAGUCACACUGGAACUGAGACACGGUCCAGACUCCUACGGGAGGCAGCAGUGGGGAAUAUUGGACAAUGGGCGAAAGCCUGAUCCAGCCAUGCCGCGUGUGUGAAGAAGGUCUUCAGAUUGUAAAGCACUUUAAGUUGGGAGGAAGGGCAGUAAGUUAAUACCUUGCUGUUUUGACGUUACCAACAGAAUAAGCACCGGCUAACUUCGUG
Molecule: ribosomal RNA, 484 nt
Filed under: uncultured bacterium
Lineage: Bacteria
Description: partial 16S ribosomal RNA
Rfam family: Bacterial small subunit ribosomal RNA
Source: RNAcentral